GGACCUGUAGCUCAGCCGGUUAGAGCGCUUCCCUGAUAAGGAAGAGGUCGGAGGUUCAAGUCCUCCCAGGUCCA
Molecule: transfer RNA, 74 nt
Filed under: Candidatus Protofrankia californiensis
Lineage: Bacteria; Bacillati; Actinomycetota; Actinomycetes; Frankiales; Frankiaceae
Description: Candidatus Frankia californiensis tRNA
Rfam family: tRNA
About the family: Transfer RNA (tRNA) molecules are approximately 80 nucleotides in length. Their secondary structure includes four short double-helical elements and three loops (D, anti-codon, and T loops). Further hydrogen bonds mediate the characteristic L-shaped molecular structure. tRNAs have two regions of fundamental functional importance: the anti-codon, which is responsible for specific mRNA codon recognition, and the 3' end, to which the tRNAs corresponding amino acid is attached (by aminoacyl-tRNA synthetases). tRNAs cope with the degeneracy of the genetic code in two manners: having more than one tRNA (with a specific anti-codon) for a particular amino acid; and 'wobble' base-pairing, i.e. permitting non-standard base-pairing at the 3rd anti-codon position.
Source: Rfam by way of RNAcentral